UUACGGUCAAAUCACGCUGAAAACACCGGUUCUCGUUCGAUCACCGAAAUUAAGCAUCGUAGAGCCAGGUCAGUACUUAGAUGGGGGACCGCUUGGGAACACCUGGUACUGUAAG
RNAcentral lists this ribosomal RNA (115 nucleotides) under Acanthosepion pharaonis. The record is from RNAcentral. Lineage: Eukaryota; Metazoa; Mollusca; Cephalopoda; Sepiida; Sepiidae.